RNAcentral lists this unclassified non-coding RNA (212 nucleotides) under plant metagenome. RNAcentral describes it as "partial contains small subunit ribosomal RNA, internal transcribed spacer 1, and 5.8S ribosomal RNA". The record is from RNAcentral.
UUUCCGUAGUGAACCUGCGGAAGGAUCAUUCAUAAUAAGUGUUUUAUGGCACUUUUUUAAAUCCAUAUCCACCUUGUGUGCAAUGUCAGGGUUGAUUUUUCUCUCGAGAGGAUCAGCCCCAAACAUCAACUAUAUCUCAACUCUUUGUCUGAAAAAUAUUAUGAAUAAAACAAUUCAAAAUACAACUUUCAACAACGGAUCUCUUGGCUCUC